GUAUCGGACAAAAAUAGACCAACGCGGUCCUUCCACCUGCUGCGCAUGCGGCCUCCAUCUCCGUAGCAACCGGGUAGCAACGGCGGAGAGGAUCACGGGACCAAGACGAAGCAAGACGAAGCUGCUUGGAUUUGACUUUAGGCGCCAAAGUGUUUUUGCAACACCUAGCGGACCGGGGAGAAGUUCCAGGAGGGGAGCAGCACGAACAUAAUUACAGUAACAUCUGUCAGGAAGGUGGGAGUGAGCAGAUUCCCUGUUCCCAUGAUAUCAGUGACCAUUGAAAAGACGGCCGUCACUUCCUAGGGACCCUUUGGAGAGAGGCCGCAACUUCCCACCUUGUGGGCAUUGGGUCCUUGGUGCAAAUGACGCACCUAAAACUGAAACAGGGUGGGACUGAGACCCUCCAAUCCACAAACUACACGAAGAUAAAAACACUUGACGACGAAACCAAUAUGCAGGACCAUGUCAUUGGAUGCAUGGAUCAGCAGGAUGAGGAGGAGCUGUUGAUUCUGUUCGAGAAUGGGAAGGAAUUUUUUUUGAUCGAAAAAGAAAAAUGGGCACCAUAUAAGGAUAAAAUAUUAGAGAGGGCAGUACACGUAAAAAUUACAGCAAAGGGGAGAAAAAUCAUGGAGAUUGAUAGCGUAGAGGAAUUGUUGCAAAAUAGUUAGUAUGUAGGUUUUGUCUGUUUGUUGAGUUGAGUUCCAUCGUUAAAAUUGUAUAUAUGAAUAUUGCUAAAAAAAUUAAAUGUACAUGUCAAUACUUAUAAUUCAUAAUCUUGUUGAUGCUAAUGUUCUUUUAUUAGACUUUGUUAAAGAUUGAGAAUUUUCAAUUCACUGCUCCCUGAUUGAUAGCAAUCAACAGAGCCUAUUUGACAACCCUUUGGUUCUACUGUCCUCAAUGUGUGUGUUAAGUAUGAAACAGACAGAUCAGUUCUUUUAGAAAAAAACAUUUUAAUAGCAUACCAUCUGAUUCUGAUCUGAUUCUUGUAAGGAAAAUAAGUGACUAAAUAUAUCAACAGCACAACACCCAACAAGUCUGAAAUAAUUUACAUAUAUGACAGAAGUCAUACAAUACAUAAUUUGAAUGUGGAAUAUAUAUUUCUUUAUACAUUUUGGACAGUCAAACGUCGGAUAACAUCACGACCCACAGAUUUUGAUACAAAACAUCCUUUACAUAUACAAUAAAUUAAUAACUUUUACUUCAAAAUCUUCUUUGCCUAUUUAAAACUGUGAUGUGUGGGUCAACUCAUUUAGAACUUGUAAAAUUUUAAGUUAAAAAACAAAAAGGUUGAAAGGUUAAAUAAACCAUUAAAGGUGUAUUUAAUUUUUUAAAAAAGGUCUUAAAUUAUUAUCCUUUUACAAUCACUAUAUGACAAGGCUCGACAACUAAUUUAUAAGUGUGACACAUUCAUUAAGAAAGAUCUUUUGAUUUUAAAAUCUCUGUAAAAUGUUCUUUGUUUAAUACUCAUAAACUGAGUAUGUUAUUCAC
This is a long non-coding RNA of Notolabrus celidotus (New Zealand spotty), 1488 nucleotides long. RefSeq lists it as uncharacterized. The transcript has 4 exons. The record is from RefSeq and is a predicted model, not a curated record. NCBI's taxonomy places the organism in Eukaryota, Metazoa, Chordata, Actinopteri, Labriformes, Labridae.